GCAAUGGUGGUCCAGUAGUAGAAUUCUUGCCUUCCACGCUGGAGACCUGAGUUCGAUUCCUGGUCAAUGCA
RNAcentral lists this transfer RNA (71 nucleotides) under Loxodonta africana (African savanna elephant). It matches the Rfam family "tRNA". From Rfam's summary of the family: Transfer RNA (tRNA) molecules are approximately 80 nucleotides in length. The record is from Rfam by way of RNAcentral. Lineage: Eukaryota; Metazoa; Chordata; Mammalia; Proboscidea; Elephantidae.